UUCUGCGGAUAGCCGCCCCUGGAGAGCACGCGUCCGCCAGCCCGACCGGUCACACUGGAUCCAGGCGCGUGUGACAUGGCGAGGAAAAGCUUAUUCACGUUUAUAGUUUUACAUAUUUAUGAUGAAACAUGACGUAAGUCUGCAGAAAGAAUUGCUCCCGAUUUGUUGGCGUUAUGGUGCCUUUUGGAGCGGCGACUAGGCCGCAUCGGCGUGGAAAUACGGGCCGGGGAUGAAGCCGUUCCUGAGGCGCGUGUCCGGCCGCACGUGGCGUGCUUUCCGGAGGCCCUCGUGGCUCCGCUACGCAGAAUGCGGUUCGGUGGUGAAUCUCUGCGAUGGCCACGUGCUUUCUGACUCAAGAAAUGGACCCUCGGCACCGGGACUCCAGGAAUGAAGAAUAUGUUGACCUGUUUUGAAUAAAAUAUUUGUCAACAAGCUCA
Molecule: long non-coding RNA, 437 nt
Organism: Cyclopterus lumpus (lumpfish)
Lineage: Eukaryota; Metazoa; Chordata; Actinopteri; Perciformes; Cyclopteridae
Exons: 4
Source: RefSeq, a predicted model, not a curated record